This is a long non-coding RNA of Pipra filicauda (Wire-tailed manakin), 4680 nucleotides long. RefSeq lists it as uncharacterized. NCBI's taxonomy places the organism in Eukaryota, Metazoa, Chordata, Aves, Passeriformes, Pipridae. The record is from RefSeq and is a predicted model, not a curated record. The transcript is spliced from 5 exons.
CUGGCACGUGGCAGCAUGGCCACCCUGGGCUGAGGGCAGCAUCGCCCUGACACGGCCUCCUGCCUUGCCCUGCCAAUGUUUAUUUUGCUUGGGUAAACGUUUGAUUUUAGCAACACGACUGCAAUGUGUGAGUUGUGCUGGGGCUGUAAUUCGAUGGGAGGAGGCAGCUAUGUGCAGGGAGAGCUGCUAAUGCCGAAGGAAUGCUGCGCUUCCUCGGGACCAGAGAAGAUGGCGCCUGGGGCCCCUGGGGACAGCUCAGCUCCUUGGCCCUGCUGUCACCCUGCGCCCGGGAGCUGAGACCCAAAGUGGGGUCUUGCCUUGCUCAGGGCCCUUGUGGCCCAAAUGGAUGUGAUUUCUGAGGGAAAACUGGGUGUUUCACUUAUUGCAAUGAGGCUCCCACCCAGGACUGGAGGAGGGCUAUGAGGUGCCGUGGGGCUCCUGACCAGGCUGGGUCAGACAGGAAGGAGGCACCCAGUCAAGCUUAGGAAUGGCUUUUAUUCAUGUUUCCAAGGAAAAUUGAGGUCUUCUUUCUGCAUGUGCCACAGGGUGACAAUCAGGAUGGCAAGACGGGGUGUCCUGUCAGGACAGCAAGGUGAGAGUAGGGAGGAGAGGUACUGUCCCUCACCCAUGGAUGUCAGUGAUGGCCUAAGUGGUUUGUAAUUCACAUUUCUUUGCUAAAAUGCUGCUGAUGCUCCAGUUAAGCCAGCAGGCACCAGUGCCAGCUCCUGAGCCUCCUCACCAUGGCAGGGGUGAGGAGAUGACAGCUCCCCACUAAGCAGAUGGCCCUGUUGGAUGGACUUUGUCGCUGGGCUGGCAGCAAAAUACCUCCUUGGAGAAUUAAAGCUCCAGCUGUGAUGUCACCUUGCCAGAAGUGGCCCCCAGGAGUGACCCCAUUAGUCAUGAGCACACGACUGGGGUGAAGCUGUCACUAAACCUCUAAGGAAAGACCGUCUGAGGCACUGGGUAUUAACAGGUUUUAUUUCCCCCAGCCACCCUUCUCAGCACUCAGUCUUCAUGCCAGUAGCCAGGGGAUUUAAGUGAAGGAGAUGAGAUGCAGAGCUGGAGGGGUUUAGGAGAUUCAAGCUGUCCAUCAGGCCUCAGAUUUAUUCAACCCCCUUCAUAAACUCCAGGAACUCUGCCAAGGGGAAGACAUUGGAGACAAGAGGUGUGAGGUGAGACCAAAGUGCCCUCGCAGCUGCCAAGUGCGCUCUUGGCAGUUUUCCCCAGCCCUGUCUCCUUUUCCAACCCCCCAGCGUGCAAGAGGCCGAGGGUGGAUGGCUACUGCUCCUCUGACUGUGGCGAGGACUCCUCGUGACUCCUGCUGGAAAUGUCACUGGAGCCCUGCGUCACCCUCGGCUGCCACCAAAACACUGGAGCAUGAUCUUCAGCUCCUCGAGGUCGAUGUAGCCAUCAGCGUUUCUGUGAGGGGACAGAAGAGCUCAGGAGCAGACAGACACACUGGGGAGAGGGAGUCGGGGUGGUUGCACCCCUCCCAAAACCCUGCCACGGUCAUAGCUCUUACUUAUCAAACAUCCUGAAGAGGUCUGAGAGUUCCUCUUCGGUUUUUCCUUUGCUGUCAUCUUUCAUACACCGGACCAUCAUAACAAGGAACUCAUCGAAGUCUACGGUGCCACUGCCUGCAGGCAGAAUAGACACCAUCAGCUGGUGCCACGGUGAGUGGAUGGGCAACACCAAGGAGGGAUCACACUUCCCUUUGGCAACCAAGAAUCAAAACACAGGAGAGCAGCUCUGCAGCAAGAGGCAGUUUUCAAGACAUGGGAGGCCCUGCUCUGACUUCAUCACUGAAUUUUUACCUUUUGCAGUCUUUUUGCCUUGGCAAAAAUCCUUUUAGAAGCACUGAUGAAUGGAAAUUCCUGCUAUGGAGGUACCUGUCCAUCUCACCCAGGUACUGCUUACCUAAAAUUGCUGACCUCACCACCGUGUCCAACUGCCCCUUUUACAGCAUCCAUGAAAACACUGACCCUUCCUAUGCUGGUCAACAGCCUCUCUGGAGCCAGCCAGGGACAGGUUUCUCUGGCUGAAAUGUGGGAAGGCAAGCUCUGAGCUCGGAGGUCACAGCACUGCAGCAGCCGUGGUAACACCAAAUCUUCUGUAUUUUGCUUUUAUCAGCUAUCCUCUCCAUCUAUCCCACGGUUCCAUUUGACGUCAGAUAGGGGAAAUUGAAAUUCUUCAAAUUUUUUUUCCAGGAAACUGGGACUCACUUCACCCAACCAGCAAGAUGACCUGUCCCCACUGCAAAUGGCUAAAAUUCACACUCCUGGAUUUACCGUGGAUUUACCCCUCCACGGUGGAAAGCAAAACACACCAAAAACCUCCAAGUGAUGAGCAGCGUUUUCUCAGUCCGGGAAAAAGCGAUUUAAUCCAGCAACAGAAGUCAAACCUCUCCUUUUAGUGAUUCAGGACUCCCUCUUGUGUCCAGAGGGGCUAUGGAUGGCUCCAGCACCUCAGGAUACAAAGUCCCACCCCUAGCUGGCUCAUACCAGCGUUAGUUAGCAAAACAGAAAAUAAUAUUGGUGCAGCUGUUAGGUUUCAUCCUUUCUAAAAUCCCUUCUCCGUUUAAGAGGAAUCAUACUGCGUGGAAAAACCUGCUGUCCCUGUGGAAUUCCCAGCCAAAGCAGCUUUAAUCAGAGACCCUGCUGGUGUCAGCACAAAGUGAGGACAUGGGUGAACACAGAGCUGUCUCCACACCACAUCCUCCCAGGUUUUGAGUCCUGAAGGAUUAACUUGUUAGGAACUGUGGUCCUGUGGGUACCCACUGGCCUUGAUUUACACAGCUGCAGCCCAGAUCUGCCUCCAGAUGGAAUAGCAAGGAAAAUAGUUGCGUUUAAGGAAUUAAUUUUUGAAGCAGUUAGUCUUGAGAAUUGGAACAUGUUAAUAUUUUGGUUGCCUUGAACACAGAAGAAGCAGGAAAAGCUGCAAAGGGAAGUAGUUAUUUUGUUAAAGCACAUUGGAUCCUGUCCUUAGGUGAGGGCACAGGACGGGAUGAAGGACCUGCUGUCACCCACAAUUAAAUCAUCCCUCAGAACCUCCUGGGCAAGCUCAUAGAGACUUUCCCAGUGAAGUGCUGCCCCAAAGCAAACCCAUGCCCCUGGCUGCUUUCUCCCCUCAGGAUUCACUGCAGGUGCCAGCACUGGGCAGUACAAGUGUGAGGAAUCACGCCUGGCCCUGGCCCUCUGUCCUGGGAGGUGAUGGCUCUGAGUCACCCCUCUGAAAACAGCCCCUGGGAUGCGUCAGAAUGUAUCCAGGGCCAAUGUAGAGCGGGAAUGGGAGCUCUAACAUGGCCUUUAAAAGGUUGUGGCUGCGCUGCUGGAGCAGCUGGGUUGAAAUUCAGGUCGGGAUGAGGAAGAAGGGUCUCUGUCUGCUUAGAGGAAAUCUGGGCCACUGCCACCAUACACACUGACGUGGGAUGGCUGCACUUCUGCAAAUGUCUGAUACGAACAGGGACUUACAAAACAGAGCUGUGCCUGGAGGGAAAGGAUGAAAUCCAUCUGGUGACAGGAGAUGAUGUUCCUCCCAGGGAAGGAGGCACAGGCGAGGGGCAUCGUGCCAACUGCUGCCUCCUCGCCUGCUGCUUGGAGCCAAAGCUUCCAGCAUCCCCUGUCUCUUCGAAGUUCUUUGCUUACAAAAGAACUGGUGUUUUGUAGAGAAACCCAGAGCCUCUGCCAUGCACAGGGCAGGGGGAGGAAGCUACAGGUAUGGAGUGUCCUGGGAAUAACCAUCCGCUCCUGCUGCUUCUCUUGCCUCUCUGUGUGAGACCCAGGGCAGAGAUGGAGCGUGGCUAUCUAUAGCCUGGGGAGGGCUGCCAGCUCAAGUGCCCUUAAUCCGGGCAUGGCUGGCUCGGUGGCACGCCAGCUGUCACUGUGGUCAGGUACAGCAUGUCAGCCUGGGCUCCAGCUGCACCCUGACACGCUGCCACACUUGUCAGUCAGUCUAAGGUACCAAGACAAACAGAAGGUUUUACUGUGCUUUUUUCCUCCAAAAUCUCGGAUUAGGUUUGCAUUUCCAAGCAGCUGUAAUCCAGGGCAAAACUCGCAGAGGCAUCCUUCAGGUCAAAUGCAGGGAAAUACAAAGCAGAAGCCCAACUAAGAUGCAAUUUUGUUUGGGGUCAGGGCUGUUUGCAAGGCUCCUUGGUUUCUGUUGUAGUUCCAAGCUGCAGCAAAACUCUCCAGCAUCCCCCUUCCCUGCAUCGGGCACUGGCCCUAGGAGAAGCCAGACCCACACCAUUGAAGUUCUUUAAUUCACUGCUUCCUAAAUUCACCUCAGAGACUUUUUGCUGAACAAGCCCCCAUUUGCCCCCUUUCAUCUUCUCUGUGAGCCAGGACAGGGCUGUCACACCAGGAGCCACCUCUGUGCCUGCAGGCAGGAACUGCUUUAGGAGGAGGAGAAGGGAACUGAUGGCAACCGACAGGCGCGCCAGUGCUGCAAAUUGUUAUUUAAUUAAGGAGACGGGACAUUGAGAGGAAGCUUAAUUAAAGUUGCUCUCCAAACCCACUUAUUAUCUCAUGAAGAGGCUGAGCUCAGCAGCAGCUCCUGAUGCUGGGACAGCAACAGAAAAUCCCUCUUGGUUUGCCUGCACUACAUGUGUUUUCUCCUGGCACACAUCAUCCUUCGGCUACAUCCUGACCAACAGAAAGCAUUUUUCAGUGAAAAUAAAAUCAA